This 497-nucleotide ribosomal RNA is filed under the name uncultured bacterium. RNAcentral's name for it is "partial 16S ribosomal RNA". It matches the Rfam family "Bacterial small subunit ribosomal RNA", at positions 28 to 507 of the family's 1533-position model. The record is from RNAcentral.
GACGAACGCUGGCGGCGUGCCUAAUACAUGCAAGUAGAACGCUGAAGAGAGGAGCUUACUCUUCUUGGAUGAGUUGCGAACGGGUGAGUAACGCGUAGGUAACCUGCCUUGUAGCGGGGGAUAACUAUUGGAAACGAUAGCUAAUACCGCAUAACAAUGGAUGACACAUGUCAUUUAUUUGAAAGGGGCAAUUGCUCCACUACAAGAUGGACCUGCGUUGUAUUAGCUAGUAGGUGAGGUAAUGGCUCACCUGGGCGACGAUACAUAGCCGACCUGAGAGGGUGAUCGGCCACACUGGGACUGAGACACGGCCCAGACUCCUACGGGAGGCAGCAGUAGGGAAUCUUCGGCAAUGGGGGCAACCCUGACCGAGCAACGCCGCGUGAGUGAAGAAGGUUUUCGGAUCGUAAAGCUCUGUUGUAAGUCAAGAACGGGUGUGAGAGUGGAAAGUUCACACUGUGACGGUAGCUUACCAGAAAGGGACGGCUAACUACGUG